Molecule: ribosomal RNA, 438 nt
Filed under: uncultured Pseudomonadota bacterium
Lineage: Bacteria; Pseudomonadati; Pseudomonadota
Description: bacterial SSU rRNA
Rfam family: Bacterial small subunit ribosomal RNA
Source: RNAcentral
AACGCUGGCGGUAGGCUUACACAUGCAAGUCGUGCGAGAAAGUAUCUUCGGAUAUGAGUAGAGCGGCGGACGGGUGAGUAACGCGUAGGAAUCUACCUAGUAGAAGGGGAUAGCCCGGGGAAACUCGGAUUAAUACCGUAUACCUCCUUUGGGAGAAAGAAGGCCUCUCUUUGAAGCUUUCGCUAUUAGAUGAGCCUGCGUAAGAUUAGCUUGUUGGUGAGGUAAAGGCUCACCAAGGCGACGAUCUUUAGCGGGUCUGAGAGGACGAUCCGCCACAUUGGGACUGAGACACGGCCCAGACUCCUACGGGAGGCAGCAGUGGGGAAUAUUGGACAAUGGGCGCAAGCCUGAUCCAGCCAUACCGCGUGUGUGAAGAAGGCCCUAGGGUUGUAAAGCACUUUAAGUUGGGAAGAAAAGUAUUGGUUAAUACCCAAUGAC